Molecule: ribosomal RNA, 672 nt
Filed under: Triticum aestivum (bread wheat)
Lineage: Eukaryota; Viridiplantae; Streptophyta; Magnoliopsida; Poales; Poaceae
Description: partial small subunit ribosomal RNA
Source: RNAcentral
CUCUCUGCACAGGCGACGAGGGAGUUCCUGAAUCUGUGGGAGGAAACACAAAAUAUUCAGUUAACACAAGAGCCCGAUCGAGUUCAGUGGAAAUGGACAGCAAACGGCAUAUACACGGCGAGAUCGGCUUACAAAAUUCAGUUUGAGGGCUGCACUCGGCCUUCGUGGGCUGCGUUCCUUUGGAAAUCGGAUGCACCGGGCAAAUGCAAGCUUUUUGCAUGGUUGGCUCUGCUGGGACGCUGCAACACGUCCGAUGUUCUUGCGAGGAAAGGCUGGCCUCACAAUCCGUCUUGCUCUCUCUGCAAUGGGCCAAUGGAAGAUGUCGUGCACCUGCUUGCUUCCUGUCCCGUCUCCAUCCGAAUUUGGCACGACAUCAUUGCUCGCUGCAACCUUCAUCCAGGCCUCGCUCCCUCCACCACCACAACCUCCCUGAUGCGUUGGAUCGACCAGUCCAAUGGCAUCCUUACGGCAUCAGCAAAGAAGCCAUGGAGCGCACUCGUGCAGCUGGUCUGGUGGUCGAUAUGGAACGAACGCAACGCAAGGAUUUUCAGAAACCAACCAUCGCCGCAGACGACGGUGGUGGAACGGAUGAUUGAAGAAGCAGCGGUAUGGCAGAGAGCGGGACGAGGCAAGGCCAUCUCCCUCCUCAACGGACCAAGAGAACCAGACUAG